CCCCGCCCCACGCUCGAUCCCUCCCCAACAACAGCGCCGGGGAGAGCCCCGAUUGGCUGGCGCCGCCGUGACGUCACGCACCACCUGGCCGGCUGUUGCCGUGGCAACGGGGAAAGCGGUGCGAUCGGGGGCGUGGCCAGGAGAAGCCACGCCCCUCUUUUUUCCCAGCUCCGCCCCCCCCCACGGAGACAGCGCGGGGAGGGGAGGGGGGAAAGGUCAGAGGUCACGACACCACGUGACGCGGGGGCACACUCAGCGUCACAGCGCCACUCACACUCACACCAACACGCUCACACGUGACACACUCACACUGACAUACACACUCGCAGUGUCACACUCACACACACACUCACACUCACACACUCUUAGUGUCACACUCACACACACACACCCUCAGUCCACACUCACACUGACACACACACAUUCACACCAUCACACUCUCAAUCACACUCACACACACACACACACACUCACACCCUCAGGCACACACACACACUCACACCCCCAUACUCACACCCUCACACACACACACUCACACUCACACACACUCACACUGACACACACCAUCACUCACUGAGACUCACACACACAGUCACACUCACUCACACCCUUGCACACUCACACUGAACUCCCCCUCACACACACUCUCACACCCACGCUCACACUCACACCAUCACUCACUGAGACUCACACUCACACCCUCGCACACUCACCCUUCCACACUCACACUCAACUCCCCCUCACGCAUACAC
RNAcentral lists this long non-coding RNA (752 nucleotides) under Gallus gallus (chicken). RNAcentral describes it as "lncRNA (ENSGALG00010000473.1)". The record is from RNAcentral. Lineage: Eukaryota; Metazoa; Chordata; Aves; Galliformes; Phasianidae.